This is a non-coding RNA of Maylandia zebra (zebra mbuna), 1739 nucleotides long. Lineage: Eukaryota; Metazoa; Chordata; Actinopteri; Cichliformes; Cichlidae. The record is from RefSeq and is a predicted model, not a curated record.
ACAACAGCGUCAGUGCUUCCUUUAUAUAUAUAUCCUUAGGGGGAAAAAAAGAAAAAAGAAAAAGAAAAAGAAAUAGAAGAAGAAGAAGAAGAAGAAGUUAUAAUUGGAAUACACCGAAGACUAAUGGAGAGGGAUAAACACCACAGCUGGACAGGACGUCACUCUGACAUGUCGAGCUCCAAACAACAACAACAUCAUUGUUGUAGAGUGGAGCAGAGCUGACCUGGAGUCAGAAUAUGUUCUUUUGUAUCAGGAUGGUCACUUUGUUCCAGAUUACCAGCAUCCAUCUUUUAAGAACCGGGUGGAUCUGCAGGACAGACAGAUGAAGGAUGGAGACGUUUCUUUGAUUCUAAAGGAUGUGACGAUUAAUGACACUGGAACAUAUGAGUGUCGUGUUGCCCAGAGAAAAGCAAACCGCAAGAAGAGAGCUCAUCUGAAGACUGACCCCAUCAGCAUCAUGUACCUGAGAGUUGUUGAUCCUCCAGGUCAGACAGGAGGACACACAGAGGAUGGAGGGAAGGAGGAUGGAGGGAAGGAGGAUGGAGGGAAGGAGGAUGGCGUUAAUAGACAUUAUGGGCUGAUAGCUGGUCUGAUUUUUGUUGCUGCUGUUGUUGGUUUUUUGAUCUACAGAGCACAUCAACAACAGAAUCAAGAUUCAUUUCAGCCUCCAGGUGAAUAGCAGCCUUGUUGUUACUACUGAAGUCUUCAUGACUGAGACUGUACUUGACAUCAGUCUCAGUCAUGUAACCUUGAAUUUUGAUGAUAAGUUCAGAGCUAGCUGGGAGCUUUGUCAUCUGUUUUGUUUUUAGGUGAUGAGGCAGAAAAUUUCAAAUCAGUUUCCUAUUUCAGUCCUAAAAUCAGUGAAUUAUGACCCUGUGAUCAAAUGAAUGUGUUAUUUCUGUCAGAUUCUAUUAUUGUCUAAUCUCAGAGGUUAAACUGAAGUCCACAAGUGUUUAAUGUGAUUGUGGAGCACUCUGACAGAACUUGAAACAUUGUGUAUUUAUUUGUAACUAUUUAUAUAUAAUAUAUACAUGUAACUAUUUAUAUAGUAUUUAUAUAUUCACAAAAGCACACAUUUCUUCUCAGCUAUUGUCAAGUGUUUAGUCUUACUUUACUUUGUACUGUACUUUACUCUUAACUCUGAAGUGCCCUGAGCUGUCGUGGUCCUCAGUAUAGAGAAGCAGGUAUAAGGGCUUCCUGGGUCCCACAGACAAAAAAGAAUAAACAAAUUAAAUUGCUGCACAUUUUUUCUGACACACGCACCGGAGCAUCAGCUUCAAAAGGGCCGUUACUAGUUUCUAGUUUUUGCAUUUGAGAUUUCAGUUUGUUUUUGUAAGUCUAUUUUCGAUGAAGAGUUUUCCCCCCCAGCAAUAAAGCUGUGCUUUUAGUUCAUCCUUCUCUCCGUGAGUCUUGCAUUUGGGUCUUUUCUCCUUCCUGCCACACAGCACAUCAGGCCAUGAGCUGACCCAUGCUGUGGUUUUUACACUGUAAAAGAAAUAGUUACUUAACUGAUUCUUGUGAUUUGUAAUCAGAUGAAGUGUUUUGUAAGUAUCUGAAGGUAUCCUGUAACUUAAGCUGACAGAUUUGUGCAGUAUUGGCUCUAAAAUGACUUAUUGUAUGAAAUCAAGGAUCUAUGCUUUUGUUUAUGUUCAGAAUUCUUACACAAAAUGUGUUUGAUUGAUUCUAUAAAUGGAUGAAGAUGUUUUGAAUGUUUGAUCAGACUUUGAAUGAAAUUUUUA